CCUGCAUACUCUAAACUGUUGCCUGCAGAAAGAGGACCUGGGGAUUUAAGUGCUCAGACUGCUUGCAUUCAAGUGUUCCAGACGAUAUGCCAGAGGUGUUCCCGAACAAGUUGCCUGUCGGUGCAAGCUUCAAAAGAGAUACUUAAAUGGCCAACCCCAUUCAUCCCGUAAACCAGGAAAGGAGUAUAAAUCUGUUGAAGAAUCUUAAGAGUCAAAUCUUCUGAGCCUGGACAGAGUGCUGCGGGCAUCUCUGAGGCCUCCUCCUUCUGAGAAUUACCAGGUCUGACAACACGUUCCCUCCAGCCUACUGUGAGGGACGUCCUCUCGACUUACAGCCCUCAAGCCGUGGCAGCUGGGCAGGAACCUUACCUGCUCCAUCCUGAGGGGAGACUCUGAGAGACAAGAAGGGUGAAAAUUCAGAUAUGCUGAGCCUGAAAUACACAAAAGCCUUUAGAAAGUCUCCUCACAGAGGAACCCAGUGAAAUCCACGUGAUUAGUGUGCACACUUAGAUGAGCCGUAGGUAAAAGAGAGAACCUUUCUCCCACCAUCAAAGUAGAGUAAAAGCCUGAUAUCACACUCUGUGAUCUCUU
Long non-coding RNA from Mustela erminea (ermine), 591 nucleotides. RefSeq lists it as uncharacterized. The transcript is spliced from 3 exons. The record is from RefSeq and is a predicted model, not a curated record. NCBI's taxonomy places the organism in Eukaryota, Metazoa, Chordata, Mammalia, Carnivora, Mustelidae.